RNAcentral lists this long non-coding RNA (9312 nucleotides) under Daucus carota (carrot). RNAcentral describes it as "long non-coding RNA (DCAR_LNC000924)". Lineage: Eukaryota; Viridiplantae; Streptophyta; Magnoliopsida; Apiales; Apiaceae. The record is from RNAcentral.
UUUGUGAGUUCUUUGCAAAACUAAUGGCGGAGGGAGGAUCCGGGUUUUCUCUCACCGAAUUAGCAGAGGUAUCUUCAUCAUUAUUUACACAUUCUGCACUUGAUUUUGAAGGACAAGCAAGAGCAGCAGAAGCUUGUUUAUCCUCUGCCGACUCAACUGCAAAAUUCGUUAUCAGAAUAAAAAAAGAAGAAAACACCUACUAUUACCACAUAACAAUAAAGUUUACAAAUUUCAGCAGUAACUAAUAAAACGUAGAUCACUAGAUAGGCUUUGCAAAUAGUAGGGCAAAACAUAUUAUUAAAAACACAUCGAAGGUGGAAAGUUGAACGUAAAUAAGCAUAUAAACGGAGAACCUGAUAAUACUACAAGCUUAAGCAAUUAAGGACGAACACAAGUUAGAUGAAAACCUUUGGUUAAUUGACUUGUGGAUGCGACUAGAACUUCAUUAUCCUUUUUGAUCAGAUGGCAUGUUUCCACCAGGAAUCUGAAAAAGAUUGCGCAUGAACCACACUUUGGCUUGAUAGAGGCACUGCAUCUGAAGCUAAGUUACGAUAAAAAAAUUAUGGAUAGGAAACUUGUCAAUGACGAAAGGUCGAUAAAAAGGGAAAGAAGUAUGCAACUAAAAUUAUAAGAUACAAACUCAGUAACCUGCGUCCAGAAGCGAUGCCACUUCAGCACUGUCUUCCAUUAUCGUAUCUUCAAGGCUUUUACAUGCUGCUGUACCAUCGACCUGUUUAACUGUUGAAUCAAAGAAAACAGAACACACUUCCACCUUAGUAGAACACCCUAUAGCUGCGCAUGCUCUGCAUUGCAUGACUGCAUGCUCUGCGUUACAUGACUAAAAUUGUCAGUGACUGUACAACUUUCCUGUAGUAUCUACUCCCUCCGUCCCAAUGAAUUGUAUACAGUUUCCUUUUUGGGACGUCCCAUCAAUUGUAUACAUUCCAAAAGUAGUAAAUUUUUAUAAUAUAACACAUCAUUACACCAACUACUUUCUUCCACUAUCUCCAUUCUAUAAUAAUAUAAACACUAUUACACCCACUACUUUCCUCCACUAUCUCAAAUUUAUUAUUAAAUAUAAAUGGGUCCCACCACUAUACCCAAUUUUCAUCCAACUUUAGUCAUUUCUUACUCAGUUCCUUGGUCUCCGUGUCCCAGCCAUUUGUAUACAAAUGACUGGGACGGAGGGAGUAGAUAGCACAGUCAAGAUGCAUAUGUAUACCUUGUUCAGAUUCAGGUAAACUAACAAGCUCUAAAUCAGUUGCCCCUUGUAAAGAAAUUAUGAUUGUUAAGAAAUUUGAAAUAAAAAAAAAACAUGCUAAUUUGUGUUUUAAAUGAGAACUCUACACAUUUGCUUGUAUAUUCUAAAUUAAGAGUAUGAAUAUUUGUUUUAAUUUGUUGUGAAGGGGAUUUGAAUCAAGUAUUUUUAAAUUAUAAAUAGUGGAAUAUUUAUUAGCUUCCUUAGUAUUAGAUCUAACAGUUCUCAUCAAUUUAUUAUAAGAUCUAACGGUCAUUAUCAUUUCUAACACAUUGUUAACCAAUCUGGAAAACCAACCAGAUAAAACCUAUUCUGUUUAAGUAUAGUAUAGAUAGAUAGCUUCCAAGUUCCAACAUCAAAUAAGUUGACAUAAUAAUAUAUAGUUAAUAACUAUAAUCAAUAUACUAAAAAGGUUUUCUUUAUUUAUUUAUCUGUUGACAAUAAUGAUCUUUAAUGUAGGACAAGAUUAAAAAAUAAAGAACACACUUAAGUUAAGUUCAGGUUAAUCAAGGCAAUAAUUCCACCACCACUAUUUCAAUCACUGCAAACAGGAAACAUUGGUAUACUUUAAACAUUAUAAUCCACAUGAUGUCAGACGACAUUAAGGAAAAGGAUUGAUAAAGCCUCUACCCACAUUUAUGAAACAAUAAAUAAAUCCACAUAUUGAUCCAAUAAUCAUAAACUCAAAACUUUUUAUCAAAUCAUUAAUUUGGUACUCCCUCCGUCCCCUUUUACAUGUCCAUUUUGCUUUUCGAGAAGUCAAAUUGACCAACUUUUGACUAAACAUUACGAGUUAUUUAUCCCGUAUUUCUAAAAUCUAAAAGUUGCAUACUGAUAUAGACUCAAUAUACUUUCUAAUGAUAUAAUUUUUAUUAUUUUUCUCAAUUAUCUAAUAUAUGUAAAGCUCAGUCAAAAUGUAGUCAAUUUGACUAGUCAAAAGUCAAAAUGGACAUGUAAAAGGGGACGGAGGUAGUAUAUUACAAGAGAGUUUAUAUUAAAAUCCUUAAAACUAUGGAACAAGAAAAAUCUGAGAUAUAUUCUAACUAAGGAUUACUAAAUAUGGCAUUGUCAACAUAGAUUCGCCGCUUUUAGAAGUCAUUGGAUCCUUUUACACAUUCGAGAAUUCCCUCCCCUUUUCCACUCCAUCUGAAGAGUAACUAAGACCAAUUUAAAUACAUUUUCAUAUUCCAAUUGAACACUUUCCUUUUCUGAUUAUUCUAAAACUCAAAGGAGAAUAUUAUGUUCUUUACCAAACAUAUAUGUAUCCAAUCAUGAUCUUAUAAUAAGAACAAGAGAUUUUUCUCGAUCAAUAAGAUCAUUUCCAAGUUGAAAUUUGUUCAUUUGGAAUCUAGAACCCCGUAUUGUAACUUUUUUUUUUUUUGUAAGGUCUACAUAAUCGUAGAUGAAUUGUAUCGAAAUACAAUAAACCGCAACUGUGAUAUCUUUCUUUCAAAAAAGUUUAUCAUCUAACCGAAAGUCAUGCAAGCAUAACUCCGGACGUUUAGACAAUAAAGCUUAAAUGAAUUAGAAAAGAGUACCCAUACACUAACAGCUCGUUUCCAAAGUAUCCUGAGAAAAAAACAAUCAAAUAAAACAUAAAUCAAUAUACAAAAAAAUCUAAUAAAAACAAAAACUAAAAAGUAUACUCCCUCCGUCCCUUAUUUCUUUUCUGGUUAUGUGAAUUACACGGACUUUAAGAAACUAUGACUUUGGGUCAUCUGCAUUAACUUGCACUAACUACCAGUAAUUAUUGAUAAGCUUGUUUUUUAGCAGAACACAACAUUUAAUCCUCAUGUUAUGCUUUCAACCAAUUAAAUUACAGCAUCAAGUUUACACAACCAAUCAAAAAUCAGGAUUACAGGCACACAGAUUAAGCUAAAAUCACACACUUAUACACCAAAAGUUUAUGAAAAUAUAAACUCAAGAAAUAUUCUCUGAACAGCAAGCACUUGCAGAUUCAGAUAUUUCUUUCCCUGUUUGUUUCAAAAUGAAUCCUGCUUUUGCUUUGAAUCUCAAUGAACCACUGAAUCAUGCUUCCUCUUUCAAUCUCAAUGAACCAGCAGAUAACUUUCUUUUCGAUUUAAAUCAGCCUGCAAAUGAUGGCUUCUUUUUUGAUUUAAAUCAACCUGCAGAUGGAGACACAGAAACAGAAUGGCAAACAAAUCAGAGAGGCACACCAGCUGCUGCUGUUCAGCACAAAAAAAGGCCUAAACUCAGCUGUGACACAAGAAUGCAAGUACUCAUGUGGCUUUUGAACAAUCAAACAAAUGGAAAACUGCACAGAGGUUCAAUUCAAGAAGCAGCAAAUAAUUAUAACGUCACAACAAGAACUAUCAGCACUAUAUGGAGCAUUGCACAGAGGCAGAAGGCAGCUGGACAAGCAUACAACAUGGCAACCAAGGGUCAUAAUGCAGGUAGAAAAAGAAUUCAAGUACAACCUAAUGCUAUAACUGAAAUCAACAUGGGGGACAGAGCAUGCAUAAGAGACUUAGCAGUGCAGUUAAAAGUGAGUACAAGUACAGCAAAUAGAAUGAUAAAGAGGGGACUCAUUAAACCUCACACAAACCCUUUACACCCUGCUUUGAAAGAUGCAAACUUAAAGCAAAGAGUUGAAUGGGCUUUAAAUUUGUUAAUGGGAGACACACCAGCAGCCAAGAGACAAUACUAUCCUAUGUUCAACUUUGUUCAUAUCGAUGAGAAGUGGUUUUAUUUAAGCAAAAAAUCACAAAGGGUUUACUUGGAAAAAAAUGAGAAGGGUAAGUAUAGGGCUGCCAAGUCCAGCAAAUUCAUACCGAAAGUUAUGUUCACUGCUGCGGUGGCAAGACCAAGAUUCAAUGCAAACAACGAGUGCACCUUUGAUGGGAAAUUAGGCAUCUUCCCGUUCACUUACCAAGAACCGGCUAAAAGGGCUUCUAAAAACAGAGCUAAGGGUACAAUAAUGACUAAGGUUGUCGAAUCAGUUGGCAAAAAAGAAACAAGAAGCAUGCUAAUUAAUCAGAUCAUACCAGCAAUUAUGGAAAAAUGGCCGAUAAGUGAAGGGCCAAAAGUUAUAUACAUACAACAGGAUAAUGCAAGGACGCAUAUAAAUCAAGAUGAUGCAGAAUGGCAACAAGCUCAUAAACAAGGGGAUUUCACAUUUAUUCUUGUGCAGCAACCACCAAACAGCCCAGAUUUAAAUAUUUUGGACUUGGGGUUUUUUAGAAGCAUUCAAUCUUUGAUGCACAAAAAAAUGCCUAAAGAUGUUGAUGAUAUGAUGGAGGCUGUACAUGAGGCCUAUUUCGAACUAGAUGCAACUACACUGGGAAAUGUAUGGUUAUCCUAUCAAUAUAUCAUGAAUGAAGUGCUUAAAGUGAAGGGUUCCAAUGACUAUCUCGUACCCCAUGUUAAUAAGAAGAAAUUAGCAGCUGAGGGUAAGCUGCCGUUUCAAGUCACUGCACCUAUGUGGGCUGUCCAUGAGGCAUGGAAUUAUUUACAUGGAACAGGUUAAGUGUAUAUUUAAUGCUUUUGUGUUUUUAUGGCAUGUAUUAGACUUAAGCUUAACUACAAGCAGUACAUGUAAUUGAAACUGUCUAGAAGCUUUUGUGUUUUGACUAGUACAUGUGUAUGCUCUAUAUUUAAGUCACUAACAAGCAGCAAACAUCACUGAUCAAAGGAAUCACUUUAUGCAAAUAUUAGUCAUAUGAUAACACUAUGGUCCUCUGUAAUGUAAGAAGUAGAACCUGUUCUGGAGUUUCGAUCUUAUCCUUGCCUAGUUCCUUCCUUUUGGCUUCUUCCAUCAUUUUGGUAUACCUGAAUAACAGGAUACCAAUCAAUUAAAUACUGAAGGGCUGCAACAGACCACAUCUCAUGUACCAAAUAAAUAGUUAAAAACAUCUGUUAAUUUGAAACAAUUAGCAAAUAUUGCAGAUUUAACGAGCUAAUUACACUUCACUUUAGACUAAUGACAGGCCUUGCACCAUGUGAUCCUGUCAAUAUACCAGGUAAACACAAUGGUGCUUCAGUGUCGAUAUUUUGAUUAAGCCAUAUUCCGGGAACCAAAACAGACUGCUGACUGCUGAUCUAUACCUUAAUUAUAUGCCACGGCUUCUUGUCACAAUUCCAUCCAGUAUUUCCCCACUACUGAUCUGAGCAUUCCUUGUUUCAGUGUCUUGACCCUGUAAGUGUGCAGAUUAAGUGAUGGUUCAAAAUCUCAGAUACAAAUGAAUACAAAACCUGCCAAAAUCACAGGGAUAUUUAACCUACCAUACCUAAAAUUUAUUCAGUAGAUGACUAUAUAAUCUUAGUCCAACUACAGUAAAUUUUAAAGAUUGAUUCGUUAUGCAUCUGUGAUUUUAAAGCACUACAGCAUCACAAUUAAAGGAAGAAAAUAAUAAAACACAACAGUCAGAAUUAAAGGAAGAAAAUAAUAAACUACAGCAUUUCACAUGAUAUGAUGUUAGCAUAUCUUCACAAAUUUUCAAAAUCACGAUUACAAAUUAAAUUAGGAACCGAUUCUACCACUCCCCUACAAAUUAAAUCAGGAGUAGAACAUUGCAUAUACAUGAAAAAUUCAACCAGAAUUAAAAAAAACAACAGUCAAAUCAAACUAAGUCAUUACCGAAUCAAAAUCAACUAAGAUCUCAUAAAACAACAAUCAAAAUCCCUAAUCCCUAAUUCAUAUAAAUUACCAACACAAAUCGAGAUCACCAUCAAGAGAAAAUGCAAAAAUUCAAGGAAAUUACUAAAAUCCCUAAUUCAAGACCGAGAGCAUGCAUCUUGUGAACUAUCAGCCUCAACAUCGUCGUUAUCGGAGUCAUCGAUCCACGGAUCUGGAGCAACUACGGGGAACGGUUCAACUGGAUCCGAAACAAGAGGAGACGGAGGAUCAUUAUAUUCAACCUCAGGCUUAUCUACCGUCGCUUCCGAUUUGUCGGCUGAUUCAGAAUAAUUAGCUUGUAGUCCUCUCAAUCCAGCAUUUUCUUGACUAUACAUGUGUUCCCCAUCGCAAUCAACACCUUUGUCACAGUGAUCGGGAUCGGAGCAAGCAUAAGCGACUGUGUUAACGGAUUCAUCGUCAGAAUCUGAAAAUCCAUAGUGAGAAUUCAUGUCUCUGAUGAUUAAAGGAGAAUAAGGCUUGACGAAAAAAAAAGGAAAGAGAGAAAAGGGAUAAUGGGGAGAGAAAAGGAAAGAGAGAAAAGGCACAUUAAUGGGGUAGGUGGGGUGAGUAACAGCUGGAGUGAGAAGUUUGACCAGAUAGUAUAUAAAAUUGAGUACCCCAGUUGCCUAAAAUGGAAAUAAGAAAUGUAUUGUGAAUUGCCGUAAAAGGAAAACAGGAAAAGAAUUUAGGGACGGAGGGAGUAUAUAUCAAAAAAUAAAGAGGAAUAUAUAUAUAAUGUAGAAUUAUUAAUAAAUAUCUAACCAAAGGAAAAUCCUUUGAUUAGACACAUAAAAAUUUAAAAUUUUAACUGAAGAAUAAAAAUUGAGUUUAAAAUCUAAUUCAUAUAUUAAAUGUAAUGACCAUCAAAAAGGUAACGGAAGCCAUAAAAAUGGCACUAAAAGCCAUUAAAGGCAUAAAAUGUCAUCAAUAAUGACCCCAUAAAUGGUACUAAAUAUUCAUAAAGAAUAUUUAUCCAAUCACAAUUUAAAAUGUAACAAAUCAAGAUCUACAAUUACUACUAUCAAAAUCAAAUAAUAUUCAAAUUUACAAUUCCAAAUAAUAUUCAAAUUUACAAUUCUAAAACUAAAAUCAUGCCAUAAAAUAAUUCAAUCAGAAAAACACUAAUUAAGUGACCACUACUAAUUCAACAUGACACCCGUAUCAACUCUUGGAUUAAUUGACUCAGUAGCGACAAAAAAUUAAAAAGCAGCUCAGACAAUAAUAAACAAAAUAAUGCAACAUUAAAACUAGGAUCAUGCGACUCGGGCGUUACUUGGCUGAAAAAAGAACUAACAGGAAACAAUACUCAGAACUAAAUCCAGGCAAUCAUUUAAGCUAGUGAAAUCAGCAGAAGCGCACAAAACUAGCAAAUCAAACGACGCAAACACGGUUUCACUCAACUCGGUGCUAAACAAAAUACUCGGGAUGGCGACUCAGACCAAACUAUGCAUCAAAACUCAAAACUCAGCAUCACAUACUUCAACACAGUGCUGUAACUCAGAAAAUGCAAAACCAAAACAAAACUAAAAACGAGACAAGGACUACAACUUGGAAACAAAACGUAAACACAAACUCGACCCAUCAGCGCAAAAUUGACGUAUGAUCCAAUACAUAUGGUACAUAAAGAAAAAGUAAAACAAUUAUAUACAAAUAAAAAGAACUGAAAGGUGAAAAAACACAGAGAAGACAGAUCUAGGCAAAUGAAAGAGAGGCGCAAGUACAGUACCGUUUUUCCGGUGAUACCCUUGUCGAUAAACACCGCCACCGCCGGCGGCGCCGUGCCGAAACAGCGGCGAUAGAGCAGGUGCGAAUCGGAGGAGAAAAUAGCAGAGUCGCUUAUUUCAGUGUUGGGGUGUUUGCAUUUUAAAGAAAAGGGUUUCAGGCGAUCGGAAAACAACUCCGGCAAGCGUAGAGAGUAUGAUUUUGAUAUACCACUGUAUUUAACAUAAUUGAUUCACUGAUAUUCAUUAUUAAGAUCUUCACGAAGAAACACACAGGUCGGCCCACCCCGUAUUGUAACUUUGAGCAUGCAAAAAAAUGCUUAUAUUAUUACUCUGAGUCAGCUUUGCAUUUCUCGAUAGGAAAGCAAUUUAUAUUGCAAUUAAUGGCACCGAAUAAAAUGCCAAACUCAAGUUGUAAUGUUUGCACAAUAUAUUUUAAACUGAAGUUGCAAUGCAUCUUAUAUCAGCUAAGAAAAGUUGUGAUAUAUUUAAGAAAUUGUGCCAGAUAUUGUACUUACAUAUCAGGAAAGAGGAUGUUUAUCCUCCAACAGACUUAGAAAAUUGAUGGCAGCCAAGAAAUGUUUCUCUUAAGUAAUAAACCAUGGACGAUACUGAAUGGAAUGAUGAAAAUAGAAAGUAGAGGAUAGAUGCCUAUGCUUGGAAUCAGUAAUGGCUCCUGUACGAGAACAACCUUUAUCCUCAACCAACUCGCAAAAGUUUUACUUUCUGAAAGCAUGUCAUUUAUUGACAGAAAAAAAAUGGUCAAGACAUUAUUGACAAACUGCAACCAUCUUAUCAAUAAUAGUAUCAGUUACACAACAAUAAUCUUGCUUACUACAUAUUAGUCCCCACUCCCAAACAAACAUCAUUUUUAUAUUCUCUGUGAUUUCUGCAUUUAAAAGUCUCGAUUCUAUCCUAGUAGAGUUCAAUGUUAUUCCGCUAUCUGCAGUAAAACUAUAUAUAUAGGCACAUCAAUCACUCCGUGUUCACGCUUGCCAUAUUCGAAAACAAGCAUACAGGAUCCCCUCAUUCCCCUCAUUCUUAGGGGCCGUUUAGGUGAACUUAAAAUAAGUGUUUCUUACUUAAAAUAAAAAAGUGGAGUAGAAGUUAGAAGCAAGUUAAGACUUAUAAGUGAUUAAAGUGUUUGAGAAAUAAGCAGAAGCCCUGAAACAAAAGCUAGCAUUCCUAGCUUUUUAUAAGUGCUUCUUGACUUUUUACACAAACGGUACAAAUAAGUGCUUCUAACUUAUAAACCAGAAGCCCAGCUUAAAAGCCGGAAACAAACACCCCCUUAAUAAACCAACACUCAAUAACUCAUCACAUUGUACAAGAUACCUCUUCUUCUCUCGAUAACAAAAGGUCGAGGGUUCGAGCCUCAUUGGCGGUAUGGCAAGUAGUAAAAUUCAUGUAAUUGACCAUUAAAAAGAAAAGAGCGCCCUCAUUUCUCUUAGAAUCGACAUUAAAACCGGUUAAGCUCGUUAUACCUAAAAAAUCUUAAAACACAUUCAAUCCAAACUCCAAAGGAUAUGCAGAAGAUCAAUAAUUUGACAUAAAAUUUUGGAAUAAAUAAGAGAGAAAAGUGUGUGUAGAGAUGCUACCUUUCAUUAUUUUGGGGGCACAAACUUCAAAAAUGACUGGGAGGGAGUACAAGAGAGAGAUGUGUUUACAUAUAGAGAGAAAUGAAGAUACAAAGCGGG